Molecule: ribosomal RNA, 731 nt
Filed under: uncultured bacterium
Lineage: Bacteria
Description: bacterial SSU rRNA
Rfam family: Bacterial small subunit ribosomal RNA
Source: RNAcentral
GCCGCGUGAACGAUGAAGGCCUUCGGGUCGUAAAGUUCUGUUGUCAGGGAAGAACAAGUACCGGAGUAACUGCCGGUACCUUGACGGUACCUGACCAGAAAGCCACGGCUAACUACGUGCCAGCAGCCGCGGUAAUACGUAGGUGGCAAGCGUUGUCCGGAAUUAUUGGGCGUAAAGCGCGCGCAGGCGGUUCCUUAAGUCUGAUGUGAAAGCCCCCGGCUCAACCGGGGAGGGUCAUUGGAAACUGGGGAACUUGAGUGCAGAAGAGGAGAGCGGAAUUCCACGUGUAGCGGUGAAAUGCGUAGAGAUGUGGAGGAACACCAGUGGCGAAGGCGGCUCUCUGGUCUGUAACUGACGCUGAGGCGCGAAAGCGUGGGGAGCGAACAGGAUUAGAUACCCUGGUAGUCCACGCCGUAAACGAUGAGUGCUAAGUGUUAGAGGGUUUCCGCCCUUUAGUGCUGCAGCAAACGCAUUAAGCACUCCGCCUGGGGAGUACGGCCGCAAGGCUGAAACUCAAAGGAAUUGACGGGGGCCCGCACAAGCGGUGGAGCAUGUGGUUUAAUUCGAAGCAACGCGAAGAACCUUACCAGGUCUUGACAUCCUCUGACAACCCUAGAGAUAGGGCGUUCCCCUUCGGGGGACAGAGUGACAGGUGGUGCAUGGUUGUCGUCAGCUCGUGUCGUGAGAUGUUGGGUUAAGUCCCGCAACGAGCGCAACCCUUGAUCUUAGUU